GACGAACGCUGGCGGCGUGCCUAAUACAUGCAAGUCGAACGCAGUGGGGACGGGUGAGUAACACGUGGGUAACCUCCCAUCAGAGGGGAUAACACUUGGAAACAGGUGCUAAACCGAUACUGAUGGAUGGACCCGCGGUGCAUUAGCUAGUUGGGGAGGUAACGGCUCACCAAGGCCACGAUGCAUAGCGGGCCGGAGAGGGUGACAGGCCACCCUGGGACUGAGACACGGCCCAGACUCCUACGGGAGGCAGCAGUGGGGAAUCUUCGGCAAUGGGCGAAAGUCUGACGGAGAAACGCCGCGUGAAUGAAGAAGGUUUUCGGAGCGUAAAGCUCUUUUGUUAGGGAAGCGGUAUCUAACCAGAAAGCCACGGCUAACUACGUGCCAGCAGCCGCGGUAAUAC
RNAcentral lists this ribosomal RNA (403 nucleotides) under uncultured bacterium. RNAcentral's name for it is "partial 16S ribosomal RNA". It matches the Rfam family "Bacterial small subunit ribosomal RNA", at positions 28 to 526 of the family's 1533-position model. The record is from RNAcentral.